UUAAGAUUUAUGGGGCAAAAAGAUACGUUUAUUUAGUAUGGGGUCCGAAAUACAAAAAACAAAACAAAUCCCAAAUUUCUCAAAAACAAUGGGCGUUGUUUUGAGUUUCCAAUUUUAACAAAAUGCACAUUGUUUUAUGUUUUCGGCAUUGGAAACGUUGUUGAAACAAACAUUUUCCUUCUCUUCAAACUGCAAUUAAAAAGCCCAUGAAACGACGUCAUUUAGUAAAGAGAUCUCUUCUGAAGUCGUCAGCACCAGAUCUAUCCUCUUCCAAUUUUCACAGACAAAUUCAAAAGCAUCAAUGGCCCUGGAGAUUAUUGGUCGUCACACUCUCUUUUUCGAUGGCUACCUUUGUAAACUCCCCGACGGCGCUGGUUAAUUGGAACAGCCACCGGUACGAUGUUCUUCACCUCCUCUCUUCGCUUCCACCUCCGCGUAUGAAGCGCGGCCGUUUGGUUUCAGAUGACCCCGACUUGAAAUCGGACCUCAAUCAUGUGCGCUAACUUGAUUUACCGGCGGAAUCUCUAUCUCUUUCGCAUGAUGAGAGAGAUAGAGAAAGGAAGCUCAGACAUCACAUGGCGCCAUCGCAGGAAUAGAAGAGACGGUCUGCGAUUCUUCAAUUGAGAUUAGGGUUAGAGCGAGAACCACAUCUAUCUGGGCCGGAUGAAGAAAGCACAUCUCGACGUGCGUCUAAAUGAAACGUCGAGUUUCAUUAAUCGGCGACACGUGUCGCGAUGAGGAGCGACGACUUAUCUAGCUGGCGGGUGACGUGGAGGCACCAGGAUUGAGAGAACUGUACUUUAUAUAUAUAGAUAGAUAGAUAGAUAGAUUCAGAACGUAGCAUCGACCAACUCCCAGUCUUAAUAAAAUAUUUAGGGGGUAUUAGUGAGAGUGAGAUUUAUAUAGAGUUUGUUAAUUUGAAAGUUGAUAGAUUUUUUAAAUUCGAAAAGAGUUAUAAAGAUUUUUGUAUAA
Molecule: long non-coding RNA, 972 nt
Organism: Brassica napus (rape)
Lineage: Eukaryota; Viridiplantae; Streptophyta; Magnoliopsida; Brassicales; Brassicaceae
Exons: 2
Source: RefSeq, a predicted model, not a curated record